This 1518-nucleotide ribosomal RNA is filed under the name metagenome. Its description in RNAcentral is "bacterial LSU rRNA". It matches the Rfam family "Bacterial large subunit ribosomal RNA", at positions 1395 to 2925 of the family's 2925-position model. The record is from RNAcentral.
UGAGAGGCCGAAUGGCGUAUCCGAUGGACAACAGGUUGAUAUUCCUGUACUAGGUUAUAUAGUGAUUGGAGGGACGCAGUAGGCUAAGGUAAGCCAGUUAAUGGAUUCUGGUCUAAGCAGUGAGGUUUGGUAUGAGUCAAAUGCUUGUACCUAUAAGAUUGUGCUGUGAUGGGGAAGCACUUUCGAGUGCGAAGUACCUGAUGUCACACUGCCAAGAAAAUCUUCUAGCGUUUAAUUAUAACCUACCCGUACCGCAAACCGACACAGGUAGUCGAGGCGAGUAGCCUCAGGUGAGCGAGAGAACUCUCGUUAAGGAACUCGGCAAAAUGACCCCGUAACUUCGGGAGAAGGGGUGCUCUACAUUUGUAGAGCCGCAGUGAAUAGGCCCAAGCGACUGUUUAUCAAAAACACAGCUCUCUGCUAAAUCGUAAGAUGAUGUAUAGGGGGUGACGCCUGCCCGGUGCUGGAAGGUUAAGAGGAGUGCUUAGCGUAAGCGAAGGUAUGAAUUGAAGCCCCAGUAAACGGCGGCCGUAACAAUAACGGUCCUAAGGUAGCGAAAUUCCUUGUCGGGUAAGUUCCGACCCGCACGAAAGGCGUAACGAUUUGGGCACUGUCUCAACGAGAGACUCGGUGAAAUUUUAGUACCUGUGAAGAUGCAGGUUACCCGCGACAGGACGGAAAGACCCCAUGGAGCUUUACUGCAAGUUGAUAUUGAGUAUCUGUUGCACAUGUACAGGAUAGGUAGGAGCCAUUGAUCUGAGGACGCUAGUUUUCAGUGAGGCGAUGUUGGGAUACUACCCUUGUGUCAUGGCUACUCUAACCCGCAUGCCUAAUCGGCAUGGGAGACAGUGUCUGCUGGGCAGUUUGACUGGGGCGGUCGCCUCCUAAAGAGUAACGGAGGCGCUCAAAGUUUCCCUCAGCAUGGUUGGAAAUCAUGCGUAGAGUGUAAAGGUAUAAGGGAGAUUGACUGCGAGACUUACAAGUCGAGCAGGUACGAAAGUAGGACUUAGUGAUCCGGUGGUACCGCAUGGAAGGGCCAUCGCUCAACGGAUAAAAGCUACCCUGGGGAUAACAGGCUUAUCUCCCCCAAGAGUUCACAUCGACGGGGAGGUUUGGCACCUCGAUGUCGGCUCGUCGCAUCCUGGGGCUGUAGUCGGUCCCAAGGGUUGGGCUGUUCGCCCAUUAAAGCGGCACGCGAGCUGGGUUCAGAACGUCGUGAGACAGUUCGGUCCCUAUCCGUCGCGGGCGUAGGAAAUUUGAGAGGAUCUGCCCUUAGUACGAGAGGACCGGGGUGGACUUACCGCUGGUGUACCAGUUGUCUUGCCAAAGGCAUCGCUGGGUAGCUAUGUAGGGAACGGAUAAACGCUGAAAGCAUCUAAGUGUGAAACCAACCUCAAGAUGAGAUUUCCCAUUCUUUAUGAAUUAAGAGCCCUGAGAGAUGAUCAGGUAGAUAGGCUAGAAGUGGAAGGACAGUGAUGUUUGGAGCGGACUAGUACUAAUAGCUCGAGGACUUUACCG